RNAcentral lists this unclassified non-coding RNA (345 nucleotides) under soil metagenome. RNAcentral's name for it is "partial contains 5.8S ribosomal RNA, internal transcribed spacer 2, and large subunit ribosomal RNA". The stretch from base 2 to 119 matches the Rfam family "5.8S ribosomal RNA", at positions 37 to 154 of the family's 154-position model. The record is from RNAcentral.
GUGAAGAACGUAGCAAAAUGCGAUAAGUAAUGUGAAUUGCAGAAUUCAGUGAAUCAUCGAAUCUUUGAACGCACAUUGCGCCCGCCAGUAUUCUGGCGGGCAUGCCUGUUCGAGCGUCAUUUCAACCCUCAAGCCCUCGGGUUUGGUGUUGGGGAUCGGCGAGCCUUUCUGGCAAGCCGGCCCCGAAAUCUAGUGGCGGUCUCGCUGCAGCCUCCAUUGCGUAGUAGUAAAACCCUCGCAACUGGAACGCGGCGAGGCCAAGCCGUUAAACCCCCAACUUCUGAAUGUUGACCUCGGAUCAGGUAGGAAUACCCGCUGAACUUAAGCAUAUCAAUAAGCGGAGGA